AUUGAACGCUGGCGGCAGGCCUAACACAUGCAAGUCGAGCGAAGCGGGGACGGGUGAGUAACACGUGGAUAACCUCCUAUAAGACUGGGAUAACUUCGGGAAACCGGAGCUAAACCGGCUCCUUAUCGAUGGAUCCGAGCUGCAUUAGCUAGUUGGUACGGUAACGGCUUACAAAGGCAACGAUGCAUAGCCGACCUGAGAGGGUGAUCGGCCACACUGGAACUGAGACACGGUCCAGACUCCUACGGGAGGCAGCAGUAGGGAAUCUUCCGCAAUGGGCGAAAGCCUGACGGAGCAACGCCGCGUGAGUGAUGAAGGUCUUCGGAUCGUAAAACUCUUUUAUUAGGGAAGCGGUACCUAAUCAGAAAGCCACGGCUAACUACGUGCCAGCAGCCGCGGUAAUAC
This 405-nucleotide ribosomal RNA is filed under the name uncultured bacterium. RNAcentral's name for it is "partial 16S ribosomal RNA". It matches the Rfam family "Bacterial small subunit ribosomal RNA", at positions 30 to 526 of the family's 1533-position model. The record is from RNAcentral.